UGAAAGCCAGGCCACUGACUGAAUGAUUAAGUCUGUGCUGGACAUGACAAUGAAUUUAACCCUCUUGCCAGCCUAGGAGAGCACACAGAUGCAGGAAGAGGAUUGAAAACCUACUUUUCAAUUUUCUCUUCUUCCUCACCCCUGCUCUAAUUUGCCUGACCUGUUUCCUUUCAAAACCUUGCUGUUAUCAGUACCUUGUCCAUUUUCACUCUGUUUCUCUUUGUAGACUAAUUCCUUGCUGCUUCCUCAUGGGAGAUAAACUCAUGCUCAUGUAAGAAGAACAUCUGUCUUGGGCUAGGAGGAGCACAGGAAGAUGCCUUUAUCUCAAGAGCUAGGAAAUAAGGCAACUGUAUUAAAUUGUCAAGGGAGGACAGCAGACCAACAAGGAUGAAGAAGCUUGAAAAAUUCUUCAUUGCAGGGUCCACUCAUUGUCUCUAAUGAUUUGCUGCUCCUCAAAAGAAUGUCUACACUCCCGAUCGCCCCUUUUGCCAUGAGAAAAGUUGAUUUUCACUGAACCUUCAGAGGGUGAAGAGGAAGCUUUUCCUUGACUUCUACACAGGCUGGAAAUAAAUAACCUCCGCUUAGGACACCCCUGGCAGGGGCUUUCCAAACCACUUCCAACCCUGGAGAGAAAGAUAAUGAUGUGCCCAAACAACACAUCUGCAGAUGUUCCGUGGAGCAUCAUCACCAAAAAUGCACACGAAACUGCCACUAGAAGCAAAUGGAGGAAGCACACAGCAGGACUGGGUGUCUUUAAUUGCCAUUGCGAACGUGUGUCCAUCUGCACCACGUGAAUGAUUUGCGGCACAGCCGGGACCUGGCUCAGUUCUCUUGACACAUACAUCAACUCACAAGCACUGAAGUGGCAAGGCUGUUUGCAGAAGACAUUUAAGGCAAAAAUAGAUUGCAUCUUAAAAUCUCCUUACAGGACAUAGGUGGCACAUUGAAGAAAGCUUCAAUGCAACAAUAAUUUACAAUAACAUGGGCACAGUAAUGGAAAACAGCAAAGAACUGUGAGGAACUUUGCUGGCACUUUUUCCAGGGCCAGCAGCUGGAAAGAGGGGCCACAAAACAUCAGCAAGGAAACUGCUGUUCUAAAAGAAAGACACAAGAAGCUGUGCUUCCAGAAGAGAAAAGUAGUCACUGCCACCCCAGGAACCUGGCAUGGAGGGAUGCAGUGGUGUAAUACCACUCUCUCCUUGCACCACCCACAAGCCCAGCCCAUCCUGGGGACAGACGCAUGCUGAAAGUGGAGGUCGGGUCUGGAAGGGCAAAAGCAGAUGGCCCAGCAUAGCCCACCACUUUUCUUUGUCAACAUCAAGUAUUUCUGUGUCUGUACGAAAAACCAAGGUUCUGUCCCAGGGAAAUGACGGAGUCCCAUCAGCUACAGGAUCAUAACAAGGAGAUGUCAAUUCAGUCAUACUCGCCUGAAAGCUACAGCACCUUGAACGGUUCACCCAACCACCUCAUCUGCAUGUGGUUCUCGUGGCACGUAAAGCCCUAACUGGGUGGUCUCAGUUUCACACCGCUAUGACUUUGUUUUCUGCUGGAAGCAGUUCCCCUUAUCACCAGAGCCUCCAAACCUAGAAAAGCCAAGAAAGCAGAGAUGGAAGCAAUUCCUGAUGUGGGCUAUUUGGGGCAAAACUGGUAUCUCCCCUUAUGUCCCCCGUGAGUAAGCAUUCCACAGACAGUUUCAAAACAUUAUGUUGUAUACUGAUGUACACCAGAAAUAAUAAAACCAUCAGAAUUC
Molecule: long non-coding RNA, 1750 nt
Organism: Homo sapiens (human)
Lineage: Eukaryota; Metazoa; Chordata; Mammalia; Primates; Hominidae
Exons: 6
Source: RefSeq, a predicted model, not a curated record